This 234-nucleotide ribosomal RNA is filed under the name uncultured bacterium. RNAcentral describes it as "partial 16S ribosomal RNA". It matches the Rfam family "Bacterial small subunit ribosomal RNA", at positions 96 to 334 of the family's 1533-position model. The record is from RNAcentral.
UGGCGGACGGGUGAGUAAUGUCUGGGAAACUGCCCGAUGAGGGGGGAUAACUACUGAAACGGUAGCUAAUACCGCAUAACGUCGCAAGACCAAAGAGGGGGACCUUCGGGCCUCUUGCCAUCGGAUGUGCCCAGAUGGGAUUAGCUAGUAGGUGGGGUAAAGGCUCACCUAGGCGACGAUCCCUAGCUGGUCUGAGAGGAUGACCAGCCACACUGGAACUGAGACACGGUCCAG